CCUACGGGAGGCAGCAGUAGGGAAUUUUGCGCAAUGGGCGAAAGCCUGACGCAGCAACGCCGCGUGAUCGAGACGCCCUUCGGGGUGUAAAGAUCUGUCAGUGGGGACGAAACUUGACGGUACCCACAGAGGAAGCACCGGCUAACUCCGUGCCAGCAGCCGCGGUAAUACGGGGGGUGCAAGCGUUGUCCGGAAUCAUUGGGCGUAAAGAGUUCGUAGGCGGUCCGGAAAGUCAGCGGUAAAAGCCCGGGGCUCAACCCCGGCGAGCCGUUGAAACUGUCGGACUAGAGACGGCGAGAAGUACGCGGAAUGCGCGGUGUAGCGGUGAAAUGCAUAGAUAUCGCGCAGAACUCCGAUUGCGAAGGCAGCGUACCGGCGCCGGACUGACGCUGAGGCACGAAAGCGUGGGUAUCGAACAGGAUUAGAUACCCCAGUAGUC
RNAcentral lists this ribosomal RNA (439 nucleotides) under uncultured bacterium. RNAcentral's name for it is "partial 16S ribosomal RNA". It matches the Rfam family "Bacterial small subunit ribosomal RNA", at positions 338 to 795 of the family's 1533-position model. The record is from RNAcentral.